Molecule: ribosomal RNA, 521 nt
Filed under: Cadophora meredithiae
Lineage: Eukaryota; Fungi; Ascomycota; Leotiomycetes; Helotiales; Ploettnerulaceae
Description: eukaryotic LSU rRNA
Rfam family: Eukaryotic large subunit ribosomal RNA
Source: RNAcentral
GGGAUUUACCUCAGUAACGGCGAGUGAAGCGGUAACAGCUCAAAUUUGAAAGCUAGCUCUUUUAGGGUUCGCAUUGUAAUUUGUAGAAGAUGCUUCGGGUGUGGCCCCGGUCUAAGUUCCUUGGAACAGGACGUCAUAGAGGGUGAGAAUCCCGUAUGUGACUGGGUGCUUUCGCUCAUGUGAAGCUCUUUCGACGAGUCGAGUUGUUUGGGAAUGCAGCUCAAAAUGGGUGGUAAAUUUCAUCUAAAGCUAAAUAUUGGCCAGAGACCGAUAGCGCACAAGUAGAGUGAUCGAAAGAUGAAAAGCACUUUGGAAAGAGAGUUAAACAGUACGUGAAAUUGUUGAAAGGGAAGCGCUUGCAACCAGACUUGCGCGCUGAUGAUCAUCCGGGCUUCUGCCCGGUGCACUCGUCUGCGCUCAGGCCAGCAUCGGUUUCGGUGGUGGGAUAAAGGCCUUGGGAAUGUGGCUCCUCUCGGGGAGUGUUAUAGCCCUCGGUGCAAUGCCGCCUACCGGGACCGAGG